CGUUCAAAUUGCGGGAAAUUCCUAAAGCUCUGUGUUACCGUCCUCGAGUGUGAAAGCGCUCCUGGACACCGGGUUAAUUGCCCUGGGUAUGGUGAUAAGACCAGAGAUGUCACAAUGGAUAAUCCGCAGCGAAGUCCUCUUGUUGCUUGAUGGCAACAGUGGAGCGCGUUCAGAGACUAGAUGUUCGUGGGCUGCCGGUUGGCGGCUUAAGGUAUAGUCCUUCCCGACUCGAAAGGGUCUGGGGUUAUAAGUAGAUGUUCUGGGCCGCACGCGCGCUACACUGACAAAGCCAGCGAGUCUAUCACCUUGGCCGGAAGGUCCGGGUAAUCUUGUGAAACUUUGUCGUGCUGGGGAUAGAGCAUUGCAAUUAUUGCUCUUCAACGAGGAAUGCCUAGUAAGCGCAAGUCAUCAGCUUGCGUUGAUUACGUCCCUGCCCUUUGUACACACCGCCCGUCGCUACUACCGAUUGAAUGGCUUAGUGAGGUCUUCGGAUCGGCGUU
Molecule: ribosomal RNA, 500 nt
Filed under: uncultured eukaryote
Lineage: Eukaryota
Description: bacterial SSU rRNA
Rfam family: Eukaryotic small subunit ribosomal RNA
Source: RNAcentral